UACAGGGGGGGCAAGCGUUGUUCGGAAUUACUGGGCGUAAAGCGCCCGUAGGCGGCCAACUGCGUCCGACGUGAAAUCCCCAAGCUUAACUUGGGAACUGCGUCGGAUACUGGAUGGCUUGAAUUCGGGAGAGGGAUGCAGAAUUCCAGGUGUAGCGGUGAAAUGCGUAGAUAUCUGGAGGAAUACCGGUGGCGAAGGCGGCAGCCUGGACCGACAUUGACGCUGAACGGCGAAAGCUAGGGGAGCAAACGGG
RNAcentral lists this ribosomal RNA (253 nucleotides) under uncultured bacterium. RNAcentral's name for it is "partial 16S ribosomal RNA". It matches the Rfam family "Bacterial small subunit ribosomal RNA", at positions 524 to 776 of the family's 1533-position model. The record is from RNAcentral.